CAUAUAGUCCAGCAGGUAGAACGCAUGACUGUUAAUCAUGAUGUCGCCGGUUCGAGUCCGGCUAU
RNAcentral lists this transfer RNA (65 nucleotides) under human gut metagenome. It matches the Rfam family "tRNA", at positions 5 to 66 of the family's 71-position model. From Rfam's summary of the family: Transfer RNA (tRNA) molecules are approximately 80 nucleotides in length. Their secondary structure includes four short double-helical elements and three loops (D, anti-codon, and T loops). Further hydrogen bonds mediate the characteristic L-shaped molecular structure. tRNAs have two regions of fundamental functional importance: the anti-codon, which is responsible for specific mRNA codon recognition, and the 3' end, to which the tRNAs corresponding amino acid is attached (by aminoacyl-tRNA synthetases). tRNAs cope with the degeneracy of the genetic code in two manners: having more than one tRNA (with a specific anti-codon) for a particular amino acid; and 'wobble' base-pairing, i.e. permitting non-standard base-pairing at the 3rd anti-codon position. The record is from RNAcentral.